CACUUGAUGAAUUCUGGCAUGAUUUCAUCCUAAUAAUAGUAUAUUAUUAUAUUAGGUUGAUUCCUAGUAUAAUAAUAUUUAUUAUUAUGGGGAUGACAGUUACUUUGAGAAAAUUAGAGUGUUUGAAGCAGGCUUUUGUUGCCUUGAAUACUGCAGCAUGGAAUAACAAUAUAGGAUUUCGGUUCUAUUAUUUUGUUGGUUUUUUCUGUAGGACUGAAAU
Molecule: ribosomal RNA, 220 nt
Filed under: Sarcocystis gigantea
Lineage: Eukaryota; Apicomplexa; Conoidasida; Eucoccidiorida; Sarcocystidae
Description: partial small subunit ribosomal RNA
Rfam family: Eukaryotic small subunit ribosomal RNA (bases 96-220)
Source: RNAcentral